GCGGAGGAAAGGAAACCAACAGGGAUUGCCUCAGUAACGGCGAGUGAAGCGGCAAAAGCUCAAAUUUGAAAUCUAGCACCUUCGGUGUUCGAGUUGUAAUUUGAAGAUGGUAACCUUGGGUUUGGCUCUUGUCUAUGUUCCUUGGAACAGGACGUCAUAGAGGGUGAGAAUCCCGUCUGAUGAGAUGCCCAUUCCUAUGUAAGGUGCUAUCGAAGAGUCGAGUUGUUUGGGAAUGCAGCUCUAAGUGGGUGGUAAAUUCCAUCUAAAGCUAAAUAUUGGCGAGAGACCGAUAGCGAACAAGUACAGUGAUGGAAAGAUGAAAAGAACUUUGAAAAGAGAGUGAAAAAGUACGUGAAAUUGUUGAAAGGGAAGGGCAUUAGAUCAGACUUGGUGUUUUACGAUUAUCUUCUCUUCUUGAGUUGUGCACUCGUAUUUCACUGGGCCAGCAUCGAUUCGGAUGGCAAGAUAAUGGCAGUUGAAUGUGGCUUCACUUCGGUGGAGUGUUAUAGCUUCUGCUGAUAUUGCCUGUCUGGAUCGAGGGCUGCGUCUUUUGACUAGGAUGCUGGCGUAAUGAUCUAAUGCCGCCCGUCUU
RNAcentral lists this ribosomal RNA (592 nucleotides) under Hansenula anomala. RNAcentral's name for it is "eukaryotic LSU rRNA". It matches the Rfam family "Eukaryotic large subunit ribosomal RNA", at positions 50 to 655 of the family's 3401-position model. Lineage: Eukaryota; Fungi; Ascomycota; Saccharomycetes; Phaffomycetales; Wickerhamomycetaceae. The record is from RNAcentral.